This 429-nucleotide ribosomal RNA is filed under the name Bacteroidota bacterium. RNAcentral describes it as "Bacteroidetes bacterium partial 16S ribosomal RNA". It matches the Rfam family "Bacterial small subunit ribosomal RNA", at positions 355 to 776 of the family's 1533-position model. The record is from RNAcentral. Lineage: Bacteria; Pseudomonadati; Bacteroidota.
UAGGGAAUCUUCGGCAAUGGGGGGAACCCUGACCGAGCAACGCCGCGUGAGUGAAGAAGGUUUUCGGAUCGUAAAGCUCUGUUGUUAAGGAAGAACGAGUGUGAGAAUGGAAAGUUCAUACUGUGACGGUACUUAACCAGAAAGGGACGGCUAACUACGUGCCAGCAGCCGCGGUAAUACGUAGGUCCCGAGCGUUGUCCGGAUUUAUUGGGCGUAAAGCGAGCGCAGGCGGUUAGAUAAGUCUGAAGUUAAAGGCAGUGGCUCAACCAUUGUAGGCUUUGGAAACUGGUUAACUUGAGUGCAGAAGGGGAGAGUGGAAUUCCAGGUGUAGCGGUGAAAUGCGUAGAUAUAUGGAGGAACACCGGUGGCGAAAGCGGCUCUCUGGUCUGUAACUGACGCUGAGGCUCGAAAGCGUGGGGAGCGAACAGG